GAUGAACGCUAGCGGCAGGCCUAAUACAUGCAAGACGAACGGUAAGUUGAGUAGCAAUACUUAGCCAAGAGUGUCGUACGGGUGCGUAACACGUAUGCAACCUACCCUAUACAGGAGGAUAGCCUAGGGAAACCUGGAUUAACCCUUCAUAGUAUUAUUGGAUGGCAUCAUUUGAUAAUUAAAACUGAGGUGGUAUAGGAUGGGCAUGCGUCUGAUUAGUUAGUUGGCGGGGUAAUGGCCCACCAAGACGAUGAUCAGUAGGGGUUCUGAGAGGAAGAUCCCCCACACUGGCACUGAGAUACGGGCCAGACUCCUACGGGAGGCAGCAGUAGGGAUAUGGUCAAUGGAUGCAAGUCUGAACCAGCCAUGCCGCGUGCAGGAAGAAGG
Molecule: ribosomal RNA, 387 nt
Filed under: uncultured bacterium
Lineage: Bacteria
Description: bacterial SSU rRNA
Rfam family: Bacterial small subunit ribosomal RNA
Source: RNAcentral